Molecule: ribosomal RNA, 254 nt
Filed under: uncultured bacterium
Lineage: Bacteria
Description: partial 16S ribosomal RNA
Rfam family: Bacterial small subunit ribosomal RNA
Source: RNAcentral
UACGUAGGGCGCAAGCGUUUGUCCGGAAUUAUUGGGCGUAAAGAGCUCGUAGGCGGUCUGUCACGUCGGCUGUGAAAACCCGGGGCUCAACCCCGGGCCUGCAGUCGAUACGGGCAGACUGGAGUCCGGCAGGGGAGACUGGAAUUCCCGGUGUAGCGGUGAAAUGCGCAGAUAUCGGGAGGAACACCGGUGGCGAAGGCGGGUCUCUGGGCCGGUACUGACGCUGAGAAGCGAAAGCAUGGGGAGCGAACAGG